ACUCAAAUGAAUAGACGGGGGCCCGCACAAGCAGCGGAGCGUGUGGUUUAAUUCGAGGCUACCCGAAGAACCUUACCUGGGUUUGACAUGCGCGUGGUAGGGAACCGAAAGGGGACCGACCUUCGGGAGCGCGCACAGGUGCUGCAUGGCUGUCGUCAGCUCGUGUCGUGAGAUGUACGGUUAAGUCCGCAAACGAGCGCAACCCCCGGGAGUAGUUACAGGUGUCUACUCCGACUGCCCGUGAGAAACGGGAGGAAGGUGGGGAUGACGUCAAGUCAGCAUGGCCUUUAUAUCCAGGGCGACACACACGCUACAAUGGGCGGUACAGAGGGGAGCGAAAGCGCGAGCUGGAGCCAAUCCCGCAAAGCCGCUCGUAGUUCGGAUUGCAGGCUGCAACCCGCCUGCAUGAAGUUGGAGUUGCUAGUAACCGUGGGUCAGCCAAACCACGGUGAAUACGUUCCCGGGCCUUGUACACACCGCCCGU
Molecule: ribosomal RNA, 484 nt
Filed under: uncultured bacterium
Lineage: Bacteria
Description: partial 16S ribosomal RNA
Rfam family: Bacterial small subunit ribosomal RNA
Source: RNAcentral